RNAcentral lists this ribosomal RNA (354 nucleotides) under Escherichia coli. RNAcentral's name for it is "partial 23S ribosomal RNA". It matches the Rfam family "Bacterial large subunit ribosomal RNA", at positions 579 to 934 of the family's 2925-position model. The record is from RNAcentral. Lineage: Bacteria; Pseudomonadati; Pseudomonadota; Gammaproteobacteria; Enterobacterales; Enterobacteriaceae.
GCACGCUUAGGCGUGUGACUGCGUACCUUUUGUAUAAUGGGUCAGCGACUUAUAUUCUGUAGCAAGGUUAACCGAAUAGGGGAGCCGAAGGGAAACCGAGUCUUAACUGGGCGUUAAGUUGCAGGGUAUAGACCCGAAACCCGGUGAUCUAGCCAUGGGCAGGUUGAAGGUUGGGUAACACUAACUGGAGGACCGAACCGACUAAUGUUGAAAAAUUAGCGGAUGACUUGUGGCUGGGGGUGAAAGGCCAAUCAAACCGGGAGAUAGCUGGUUCUCCCCGAAAGCUAUUUAGGUAGCGCCUCGUGAAUUCAUCUCCGGGGGUAGAGCACUGUUUCGGCAAGGGGGUCAUCCCGA